Molecule: ribosomal RNA, 253 nt
Filed under: uncultured bacterium
Lineage: Bacteria
Description: partial 16S ribosomal RNA
Rfam family: Bacterial small subunit ribosomal RNA
Source: RNAcentral
UACGUAGGGUGCAAGCGUUGUCCGGAUUUAUUGGGCGUAAAGAGCUCGUAGGCGGUCUGUCGCGUCGGAUGUGAAAACCCAGGGCUCAACCCUGGGCCUGCAUUCGAUACGGGCAGACUAGAGUGUGGCAGGGGAGACUGGAAUUCCUGGUGUAGCGGUGAAAUGCGCAGAUAUCAGGAGGAACACCGGUGGCGAAGGCGGCUUCCUGGUCUGCAACUGACGCUGUGGCGCGAAAGCUAGGGGAGCAAACGGG